CUUGGUUGAUCCUGCGAGUAGUCAUAUGCUUGUUUCAAAGAUUAAGCCAUGCAUGUCUAAGUAUGAACUAAUUCAGAAUGUGAAACUAUGGAUGGCUCAUUAAAUCAGUUAUAGUUUUUUUUUAUGGUACCAUACUACUCAGAUAAUCGUAGUAAUUCUAGAGCUAAUACGUGCACCAAGUCCCAACUCUUUGGAAGGGAUGCAUUUUUCAGAUAAAAUGUUGGUGCGGGCUUGCUCGCUUCUCCGGUGAAUCAUGAUAACUCGGCGGAUAGCACAGCCCUUGUGCUGGCGAUGCUUCAUUCAAAUUUCUGCCCUAUAAACUUUCGAUGGUAGGAUAGAGGCCUACCAUGGUGGUGACGGGUGACGGAGAAUUAGGGUUUGAUUCCAGAGAGGGAGCCUGAGAAAUGGCUACCACAUCCAAGGAAGGAAGCAGGCACGCAAAUUACCCAAUCCUAGCAUGGGGAGGCAGUGAAAAUAAAUAACAAUACUGGGCUCAUCGAGUCUGGUAAUUGGAAUGAGUACAAUCUAAAUCCCUUAAUGAGGAUCCAUUGGAGGGAAAGUCUGGUGCCAGUAACUGCAGUAAUUCCAGCUCCAAUAGCGAAUAUUUAAGUUGUUGUAGUUAAAAAGCUCAUAGUUGGAUCUUGGGUCAUAAAGUUCGGUCUGCCUACUCGGUGUGCACCUGCCCUUCCGUCCCUUUUGUCGGCGGCAUGCUCCUGGCCUUAAUUGGCUGGGUUGGAGCUUCAACGUUGUUACUUUGAAAAAAUUAGAGUGCUCAAAGCAAGCUUAUGCUUUGAAUACAUUAGCAUGGAAUAACGUGAUAGGAGUUUGGUCCUAUUGUGUUGGCCUUCGAGACCGGAGUAAUGAUUAAUAGGGACUGUCGGGGGCAUUCGUAUUUCAUUGUCAGAGUUGAAAUUCUUGGAUUUAUGAAAGACAGACCACUGUGAAAGCAUUUGCCAAGGAUGUUUUCAUUAAUCAAGAAUGAAAGUUGGGGGCUCGAAGACGAUCAGAUACCAUCCUAGUCUCAACCAUAAACGAUGCCGACCAGGGAUCGACGUAUGUUACUCUGAGGACUCUGCCAGCACCUUCUAAGAAAUCAAAGUGUUUGGGUUCCAGGGGGAGUAUGGUCGCAAGGCUGAAACUUAAAGGAAUUGACGGAAGGGCACCACCAGGAGUGGAGCCUGCGGCCUAAUUUGAUUCAACACGGGGAAACUUACCAGGUCCAAACAUAGUAAGGAUUGACAGAUUGAGAGCUCUUUCUUGAUUCUAUGGGUAGUGGUGCAUGUCCAUUCUUAGUUGGUGGAACGAUUUGUCUAGUUAAUUCUGAUAACAAAUGAGACCUCAGCCUACUAACUACCUAGGUGGAGGUUCCCCUUCACGGCCAGCUUCUUAGAGGGACUGUGGUCGUUUAGGCCAUGGAAGUUUGAGGCAAUAACAGGUCUGUGAUGCCCUUAGAUGUUUUGGGCCACACGCGCGCUACACUGAUGCAGCCAACGAGCUUUUCUUCCUAGUUCGAGAGGAUCGGGAAAUCUUCUCAAAUUGUAUCAUGAUGGGGAUAGACCAUUGCAAUUAUUGGUCUUCAAUGAGGAAUUCCUAGUAAGCACGUGUCAUCAACUCGUGUUGACUAUAUCCCUGCCCUUUGUACACACCACCCAUCGCUCCUACCGAUUGAAUGAUCUGGUGAAGUGUUUGGAUUGCAUCGACGAUGGUGGUCCACUGCCGUUGACGUCGUGAGAAGUUCAUUGAACCUUAUCAUUUAGAGGAAGGAGAAGUCGUGACAAGGUUACCGUAGGUGAACCUGCAGUAG
This 1804-nucleotide ribosomal RNA is filed under the name Pinus taeda (loblolly pine). Its description in RNAcentral is "SSU rRNA". It matches the Rfam family "Eukaryotic small subunit ribosomal RNA". The record is from RNAcentral. Lineage: Eukaryota; Viridiplantae; Streptophyta; Pinopsida; Pinales; Pinaceae.